UAAUGAUUCAGCAAUUCUCUGCAUUACUCAGUGCUCAUCAUGAUAAGUGUACUCCUUAAUGCCUAUCACAUAUUUUACCCAUCCUACCACUCAUCUCCCCUCUGGGACUGCUACUGAAGCAGGUGAAUACAGUACAAUGGGCUCCCCAGACUAAAACUCCAGCCCUGACUUGGUCC
This 176-nucleotide long non-coding RNA is filed under the name Mustela putorius furo (domestic ferret). RNAcentral's name for it is "lncRNA (ENSMPUG00000029702.1)". The record is from RNAcentral. Lineage: Eukaryota; Metazoa; Chordata; Mammalia; Carnivora; Mustelidae.